This 497-nucleotide ribosomal RNA is filed under the name uncultured bacterium. Its description in RNAcentral is "bacterial SSU rRNA". It matches the Rfam family "Bacterial small subunit ribosomal RNA", at positions 28 to 531 of the family's 1533-position model. The record is from RNAcentral.
GAUGAACGCUAGCGGCAGGCUUAAUACAUGCAAGUCAAGGGGUCAGCAAUGGCACCGGCGGACGGGUGAGUAACGCGUACACAACGUACCUUUAACUGGGGGAUAGCAUCUGGAAACGGGUGGUAAUACCGCAUGUGGUUGCGAGGAGGCAUCUCUUUGUAACUAAAACUUAGGUGGUUAGAGAUCGGUGUGCGUCUGAUUAGCUAGUUGGUAGGGUAGAGGCCUACCAAGGCGACGAUCAGUAGGGGGCGUGAGAGCGUGAACCCCCACACGGGUACUGAGACACGGACCCGACUCCUACGGGAGGCAGCAGUAAGGAAUAUUGGUCAAUGGAGGGAACUCUGAACCAGCCAUGCCGCGUGAAGGAAGAAGGCGCUACGCGUUGUAAACUUCUUUGGGUGGGACGAAAAUAAUCCAUUUAUUGGAUAGCUGACGGUACCAUCAGAAUAAAGCACCGGCUAACUCCGUGCCAGCAGCCGCGGUAAAAGCUACGUAGA